CAGCCCAGGCGGGGGCGGGGGAUAAGCCGCUGGGGGCUUGCGGGGAGGGGUCAGUGUUAAGUGGCUGGCCCCUCGUAGGUGCCUGAAGGCAAGCCUAGUGCACGGAAGUACCCCCUGGGGGGAGGCUGGUGGCCUGGGGAAGGACAAAUGGAAAAUGGAAUUAGGGGCCAGACUCUGAGGCAAGGCGACAGGGAGACAAAGGGGCGAUCUGGUUGUGGAACGAAAUUGGGGCUCGAGCGUGGGAGAGGUGAAGUGACUUGUGGACCACGCGGGAUAGGUGCCGUGUAGUGUGGGUGUGUUGGGGGUACUCGGGGGUCCGGGGAGGUGCAGUGGGAUCAGGAAGAGACUGGGGUGAGCAAGAAGUCGGCAGAAUGGGAAAGGGAAAGAGGGAAAUUUGGGAUCUAGCCAUCCCAGACCAGAGCCACCAUUCUCUUCCAGCUCUGCGCCCCCUCUCUCCAGCCGGAGCGUGCUGCUCCCUCGGCUCAUGGUGCAGCGGAGUUCGCACUAGCCAAUGUUCUGGCAGAUGGAAAGGCUGCCACUGUCCCACCUCUCCCAGGCCUCCCCCAUCUUUGCCGACUUUCCCCUUUUCCACAUUUUGUCGUUCCUGGGUAGUUGAAGUCUAGUUCCUAGGUCAAUGCCAACCAUAGCCGAGGGCACAGGGGAGCAGGUAGCUGUGCAAGCUACUUCCAGGCUGUGGACGCAGGGCUGAGAAAUGGGAAACCUGCCAGUGCCCGUUCCAGCUGUGACCUGGCUGGGGCAGCCUUGGGUCAAGGGCUCUCUGUAGUCCUGGUUUCCACCAACAUCAGGAAGGGGAGCUGCAAGAGUCAUCUAGGCUGGCACCCCAGGACUGUGCCAGCUGAUGUGAGGGUGGACUGGCUCUAAGGAAAAGAUGGUGACAAAGGAAACAGUGAGGGAAUGGACAGCUCAAAACGAGCCUUGCCACUCCUGCUCAGAACAACACCCCUGGCUGUGUCCUGCUGAGGGAAGACCUGGGUUUAAGCCCUGCCUCCGUCAACCUCAAGAUACAGAGCCUCAGGGAAGGGAGGAGCAGCACUGUGAGGACAAGUGCGCCUGAGCCAGUACCUUCACCUUUGAGAGACAAGCUGUACGUGACCCUGUGAACUGAAGAGACUCCAUUUGUCAGGCAGAAAUAGCCACUCACUGCCCACCCCCAACAAUCCUGACUCCCAACACUCAGAUCAAAUCGGAAGAUGCAUCAGCAUCAUCUUCGAAAGCAAGCUCGCGAGGGAUGACCUUCUCUCCUCAGACCCAGCCAUCUGAGGCUGUGAGGACAGCUGGUCCUGCCUCCACCAGACUGUCCUCUCCAGCCAUCAUAAAGUCUGGGAUAACACGAAGAUACCGAGACUAUAGCAAGACCGGCUUCAGGAACUAAGCUGUGCCACCUAAUGGAGCCUCUCUGCUGGGCGCGGCUGACUCUCCCAAGCUAGAUCAGGACCCAUAUAUGGUGGGUGGGGGACCCCCCCCCCCCAGCUAAUCCUCCAGCUCUGACUGAGGCUCCCCACUGUCCAGAUGUCCAGCCAGCCUGGGAGAGAAGCAUCACUGGCCAGGAUCGCUGACAAGGAGGACACACCCGCUCCGUGGGAAAGUCUUGGGUGCCCUGUGCUCAGCCUUCCCCACAGAGGCACAGUGGUCCAGGUGUCCAUCUGUAGCACAGGGGUAACUGCUGUAAGCGCAUUCACACUUUCACGUAGGACAGCAGGUAUAGCCCCAUAGGUAUCACCCAGACCAAGAGAGCUAAUGAGUAUAAUGAGAAGAAUGAGAAUAUACUAAAUUCUAUUUUUGUUUAAAUGUGUAUAUAUUUCUAUAUAUGAAUAUACCAGGAAAAAGUCUUUAAAAAUGCUAACAUGUUAAAAGCCAUUAUCCCUAUGGUAGAAUUUUGCUUCACUUAAAGAAUACUUCUUGUUUUUCUGUACUUUCUCAGUUUCCCCACACAUACUCUGUUGCAUUUUAAAAGUACAGAAUGGUGAGGAAGUGAUGAAGGGAAUCUCUACUCUGAACUUAAGUCUGACCUAAGAGAAGUACACCAUAGUAAAACUGAAAUCAUGAGAAUCACGAAGGGAAAGAACAGAGGCAGACU
Long non-coding RNA from Equus quagga, 2098 nucleotides. RefSeq lists it as uncharacterized. The transcript has 5 exons. The record is from RefSeq and is a predicted model, not a curated record. NCBI's taxonomy places the organism in Eukaryota, Metazoa, Chordata, Mammalia, Perissodactyla, Equidae.